This is a long non-coding RNA of Carassius carassius (crucian carp), 1377 nucleotides long. RefSeq lists it as uncharacterized. NCBI's taxonomy places the organism in Eukaryota, Metazoa, Chordata, Actinopteri, Cypriniformes, Cyprinidae. The transcript has 3 exons. The record is from RefSeq and is a predicted model, not a curated record.
CUAGAUCAGACCUGCCCGGGGGGAUCUGCAGCUAUGCCAAGCCCAGCAAGGCUUCACUUAGCUGGGUAACAUCUGGUGUGGCCUCCCCUGCCUCCUGGACUUCAUGCAGAGUCUCGUCUGCGGGACAGUGAGGACCAGUUUGGCCGGACUCCUCUGAUGUAUUGUGUGCUGGCCGACAGCUUGGACUAUGCAGAGGUGCUGCUUAAGGCCGGCGCAGCCUCAACAAGACUGACCACAGUCAGAGGAUCGCACUGCACAGAAGGGCAAUGUGCGCUUCAUGAAACUCUUACUGUCACACCACACUGAUUGGCGGUUAAAGGAUCUGGAAGAAAUGACCCCAUUACACCUGGCAACCCGACACUCGAGGUCCAAACCUCUGUCUCUGCUCCUCUAGCACAUGGCACCUGGUGAGGUGGACACACAGGACAGGAAUAAGGGACCAAACACAAACUACACAUGCUCUCACACAUUUAGCGAAGCUCGUCUAUAGCUGGAUUGGGUGGGGAUUGGGGUGAAUGCGAGGUUAGGUGGUGUGUGUAUGUGUGUGUUUGUGGUUGUGUAUAUGCCAUAAAGCAGCAGGGGAGCUCUGCACCCUCUGAUGUUUCUCUGGAGGAUAUGAGCUCUGUUUAAAUUGUCUAAUAAAAGAUAUUUUCUCAGAGCUGCUGCGAGAGCUUGCCAGGCGCCUACAAGGCUCAGGAUCUCAUCGCAAUGUUAACCUUAUGUGUGUGUGUGAAGUGACAAUCACUCACUCGCUGCAUGUCUUCCACGAAUCGCAGAGAGAAUACAAACCAACCCAAUUUCACAAUAAAGACAAAAUGCAUGAAAGCCUGUUUUCACCUCUGUGUAAAAACAUAAAGCAGAUCGUUAAAAUUAGAAAUAUAAUCACAAUAAUGAAACUAAAGUUGCAGUUAGAAGAAAAAAAGUCACAAUUGUAAGAAAUAAAGUCAUAAUUGUUACAUAUUUUGAUAAAGUAAAUAUAUAAAUUGUGAGAUCUAAAGUUGCAGUUACAAGAAAUAACACUUGCAACAAAGUCAACAUAUAUAGCUGCAUUUAUUUGAUCAAAAAUACAAAUAAAUUGUAAUAUUGUGAAAUACUUAAUAUUACUUAUAUUUUCAAUAUAAAGUAAAUUUUACCUUUGUUAAUAUGUUUUCGAAUAUCAUUAAUUUCUUUGAUGGCAAUUCUGAAUUUUCAUCAGCCAUUACUCCAGUCUUCAGUGUCUCAUGAUCCUUCAGAAAUCUGGUCAAGAAACAUUUAAUCUUAUCAUCAGUGUUACAACUGACACUUAAUAUUUUUGUGGAAACCAAGAUACUUUUUUUUUAGGACAUUAAAAAUUACAGGUUUUAUUUUAAAUAUUAAGUUUUUCUAACAUUCUGAAUG